UAAUUGAAGAGUUUGAUCAUGGCUCAGAUUGAACGCUGGCGGCAGGCCUAACACAUGCAAGUCGAGCGGAAACGAGAAGGUGCUUGCACCUUCGGCGUCGAGCGGCGGACGGGUGAGUAAUGGCUGGG
RNAcentral lists this ribosomal RNA (128 nucleotides) under Veronia nyctiphanis. RNAcentral's name for it is "Bacterial small subunit ribosomal RNA". It matches the Rfam family "Bacterial small subunit ribosomal RNA", at positions 1 to 121 of the family's 1533-position model. Lineage: Bacteria; Pseudomonadati; Pseudomonadota; Gammaproteobacteria; Vibrionales; Vibrionaceae. The record is from Rfam by way of RNAcentral.